AUAAUUUUAAGUUAUAAAGACUAUUAAUUUUCAAAAUUAAAAGGAUACUUAUUUAAAAGUAUAAAUUAUA
Molecule: transfer RNA, 70 nt
Filed under: Gastraspis sp. ZJUH_2016016
Lineage: Eukaryota; Metazoa; Arthropoda; Insecta; Hymenoptera; Figitidae
Description: tRNA-Trp
Source: RNAcentral